AGAUUGAACGCUGGCGGCAUGCCUUACACAUGCAAGUCGAACGGCAGCACGGGAGCAAUCCUGGUGGCGAGUGGCGAACGGGUGAGUAAUACAUCGGAACGUGCCCAAUCGUGGGGGAUAACGCAGCGAAAGCUGUGCUAAUACCGCAUAAGAUCUACGGAUGAAAGCAGGGGAUCGCAAGACCUUGCGCGAAUGGAGCGGCCGAUGGCAGAUUAGGUAGUUGGUGAGGUAAAGGCUCACCAAGCCUUCGAUCUGUAGCUGGUCUGAGAGGACGACCAGCCACACUGGGACUGAGACACGGCCCAGACUCCUACGGGAGGCAGCAGUGGGGAAUUUUGGACAAUGGGCGAAAGCCUGAUCCAGCCAUGCCGCGUGCAGGAUGAAGGCCUUGGUUGUAAACUGCUUUUGUAGGAACGAAAGUCUCUUUCUAAGUAAAGAGGAUCAUGACGGUACCGUAAGAAUAAGACACGACUAA
This 475-nucleotide ribosomal RNA is filed under the name uncultured soil bacterium. RNAcentral describes it as "bacterial SSU rRNA". It matches the Rfam family "Bacterial small subunit ribosomal RNA", at positions 26 to 500 of the family's 1533-position model. The record is from RNAcentral.